CACGUGCGUUUGCGUAAAGCUGGCGCUCCGGUUUCCCUGGCGGAGAAGAUGGCGGCUCCUGGACCGGGGGAGUAUUUCAGUGUCGGGAGCCAUGUCUCUUGCCUCACCUGUUUAGGCCAACGUUUGCAGGGAGAGGUGCUGGCUUUCGAUUACCCGUCCAAGAUGUUGACUCUGAAAUGUCCUUCCUCCAGUGGUAAGCCCAACCUCAGUGAUGUCAUCCUGGUGAACUUAGCCUAUGUUUCAGAGGUGGAUAUUAUUAAUGACCGCACUGAGACUCCUCCUCCUCUAGCAUCCUUGAAUGUUAGCAAGCUUGUCAGUCGGGUGAGGAUGGAAAAGGAAGACAAGUUGUCCCAAGCCUAUGCAAUCAGUGCCGGGGUUUCAGUUGAGGGCCAGCAACUAUUCCAGACAAUUCACAAAACCAUCAAAGACUGUAAAUGGCAGGAGAAGAACAUCAUUGUGAUGGAUGAUGUCGUAAUCUCACCACCAUACCAGGUGGAGAACUGCAAAGGCAAAGAGGGAAGUGCUCUAAGUCAUAUACGCAAAAUUGUCACGCAGACAGCUUCAUUGAAUGGCUUCAUUGAUUAUAACAGAAGCAGUCCAAUAUUCCCGAUCUCUUCGCUGAGGAAAUAAUUGUGAGCAUCUACACUACGAUACAAUUUCAUUGCCUCUCUUGCGUAGACGCUCCAUAUCAACAGUACGUCUGGAUAAGUCACUUCAGGUUGAGAAACAUUUUAGAGAUGUGGAAAGUCAGAAGUCAAUGCAACGUACACAAGCACAGCAAACACAGAAGGACUCGUCUUUAUCCUCCUGAGUGUGGGGCUAUGGCUCAUACGGGGAGGGCACCACGGGCAUCAAGGGCCUAACAGCUGGUCAAAACCAGCGCUCUUCUCCCCCUCUGUGGCGUAGUCUGAGGGUGGAUGCACCAAGGGCCAAGGGUUUGGAAGAUCAACAAAAGAAACAAAGAAAAAAAAACAUUUAAAAAAAGCAAAAAUGUUUUAAGGAAAAAAAAAAAAGUGAGAGUGAAAAGAGUUAAAUUAGACUUUAUAAAGAUAAUUUAAAACACCAACCAUCAAACAACCAUAGUUUCUUUGACUAACAGUGUCUUAUUCCCUCUCUGCCCCUUCUUCCUCCUAUGUUUCAUCUGAAAUAGCUUUUCAUGUUUUCUUCUCUUACAUCCCUCCUUCGCCUUCAAUUCCAUUUUGUCAAAAAAAAAACAGUCAGAAAUGCUUGUUAGCUUUAUUUACUUUUAUUAUUUUUUCUUUUGGCUGUUUAUGUUCUACAAGUGUCUGUCUUCUGUAUUUUAAACAAAAUGUGACUUCAGAUUCAAGGACAUUUUCUAAAAUAAAAGUAACAGAAAUUC
RNA transcript from Myxocyprinus asiaticus (Chinese sucker), 1360 nucleotides. It is a transcript of the gene named protein LSM12 homolog A-like, with no coding region annotated. The record is from RefSeq and is a predicted model, not a curated record. The transcript has 6 exons. Lineage: Eukaryota; Metazoa; Chordata; Actinopteri; Cypriniformes; Catostomidae.